AAGAUAUGCCAGUAAAAUAUACAGGCUCGUCUACUGAGCUACAGUAGGAAGUACAUCUCCAAAAUUUACAAUACAAAUGCGGUUUAAUUUGGCUCCCUAUUACUCCUGCGCUAUGGUAGCUGUGCGCUCAGGGUUGUUCCAGUUGAUCACAAGAAGGUCCUCCGGCAUCACAUGCUCUUUCACUUGGAUGGAGAUGAAUAAAAUUCAAAAUGCCACCACCUGGGAGAUGGAGGACAAAAAGAAAAGGAAAACAAACGAAAAAUUAACAAUGUUGUUCAAUUUCAAGAGUAAGAAAGUAAACAAAGUCCACAAAAGAAACAAAUGAAACCCGCAAUUGAUCUACACCUCUAGCUAUUUAAAACUGGAAUAUACCCUAUAAUUGCAGUUCAAGAGUCUAUAGCACAAACCAUAGUAUUGUGUCUAUGAGGCCCUCUACUGCUUUUUCAUUUAAGGCCUCAGUCUGCAUCUUUUAUUUCUGCUUCAAUGUCAACAACUGAAGAAGAAUCCUUUUAUAAUAAUCACAUGAA
RNAcentral lists this long non-coding RNA (527 nucleotides) under Manihot esculenta (cassava). RNAcentral describes it as "long non-coding RNA (MESC_LNC009037)". Lineage: Eukaryota; Viridiplantae; Streptophyta; Magnoliopsida; Malpighiales; Euphorbiaceae. The record is from RNAcentral.